UAGGGAAUCUUCCGCAAUGGACGAAAGUCUGACGGAGCAACGCCGCGUGAGUGAAGAAGGAUUUCGGUUCGUAAAACUCUGUUGUUAGGGAAGAAAAAAUGUAUAGCAACUAUAUACAAAAGAGACGGUACCUAACCAGAAAGCCACGGCUAACUACGUGCCAGCAGCCGCGGUAAUACGUAGGUGGCAAGCGUUGUCCGGAAUUAUUGGGCGUAAAGCGCGCGCAGGUGGUUUAGAAAGUCUGAUGUGAAAGCCCACGGCUCAACCGUGGGGGGUCAUUGGAAACUAAUAAACUUGAGUGCAGGAGAGAAAGGUGGAAUUCCUGGUGUAGCGGUGAAAUGCGUAGAGAUUAGGAGGAACACCGGUGGCGAAAGCGGCUUUUUGGCCUGCAACUGAAACUGAGGCGCGAAAGCGUGGGGAGCAAACAGG
This 429-nucleotide ribosomal RNA is filed under the name Verrucomicrobiota bacterium. RNAcentral's name for it is "Verrucomicrobia bacterium partial 16S ribosomal RNA". It matches the Rfam family "Bacterial small subunit ribosomal RNA", at positions 355 to 776 of the family's 1533-position model. Lineage: Bacteria; Pseudomonadati; Verrucomicrobiota. The record is from RNAcentral.